Molecule: ribosomal RNA, 119 nt
Organism: Callithrix jacchus (white-tufted-ear marmoset)
Lineage: Eukaryota; Metazoa; Chordata; Mammalia; Primates; Cebidae
Source: Ensembl
AUCUAUGGCCAUACCCCCCUGAGCAUGCACGAUCUCGUCUGAUCUCAGAAGCUAAGCAGGAUUGGGCCUGGUUAGUAUUUGGAUGGGAGACUAUCAGGAAAUACCAAGUGCCAUAGGCA